CGCCAAUAAGAGGUUUGCUUUGCGGCACUUGAAGGAGGAGGGCUUUCUGGAGGGUGGCACGGGUCUCAAGUACCCUGAAGUCGGCUAAUUCGGCUCGCUUGGAAUAACAGACAUUUAACACCUUCCAUUGUUCUGGGCCUGGGCCCCACAGCCCUGCUGGGACUGGGGGGCCGCGGGUUGGGUUCCUCCGGUUCACAGGGGAGGCCGCCCUCCUCAGCACCAGGUCUGAGACCCAGUCUCCCCCUAGCAAGCCUACCAAACCCGAGGGAUCUCCACACCCCACACCUGCCUCCUUGGAGGAGGAAGCGGGGCAUGGGAUCUCGUAGUGUCAACAGCCCCUUAAGCGAUAAUCCUAGACGUACUUGCCCCUCAUGCCUUUUCUUAUAUUUGCCGUUUCAGUUCCUGACGAGUGGGCGAUCUGAAAACCACCACAUUUCUUCCUAUUGUAAAGGUGGACUCCAUCCGUAUCUCUGACUCUUCUGUGCCUCCCUGGGGGUCCCAGCUUGGUGGGAGCCCAGUGUUGAACUGACCCUCAGCCACCGCUGACCCACUGCAGCAAGAGAAGGUGUGUGCCUUCAGUGCUCUGCUUUGGGCCCGGAGCAAAAUCAAGGGAGUCUUAGGAUCAGGACUGGAGGAACUGCAAAAGGAGAAGUGUGAACAGCCAAGAAAAUGAACGUGUGUGUGUGUGUGUGUGUGUGUGUGUGUGUGUGUGUGUGGGCUGUGCGGGUAUAUUUUCAUGGGGUGGGAGCUGGAGAGGGGGGCUGUUUAGUUUAGGCAAAGGCUCAAGCUGGUCCUUGCUGUUAGCAGGAAGCCCAAAUGGGGAGCCAGGAAAAGACCCCAGGGAUGCCGCACGCCUCGGACAACGGCGUUCCUCCCUUCUCGUACCCCGGACUUGUACGCUCACAAGAAUUUGCAGGACACCGUGCCGUGCGGGCGCUGUGCUGGCCCAGGGUGCCUGGUAAGGACAGCCAACACUGACAGGCCCCCCCCGGGGAGCCGUCAGGAGCGGGCGCGUCUGAAGAAUGUCACCUCCGUUAACCGCUGCAACGCCCUCACCUGCCCCCUGAGCUCCCAGCCCUGGCUGUCCCCAGGGCACCUAGGUGUGUG
Molecule: long non-coding RNA, 1107 nt
Filed under: Felis catus (domestic cat)
Lineage: Eukaryota; Metazoa; Chordata; Mammalia; Carnivora; Felidae
Description: lncRNA (ENSFCAG00000053610.1)
Source: RNAcentral